AUGCCUAACACAUGCAAGUCGAACGGUAACAGGUCUUCGGAUGCUGACGAGUGGCGCACGGGUGAGUAACGCGUGGAUAUCUGCCUAUGAGUGGGGGACAACUUUCGGAAACGAAAGCUAAUACCGCAUAAUCUCUACGGAGCAAAGCAGGGGACCUUUCGGGGCCUUGUGCUUAUAGAUGAGUCCGCGUCAGAUUAGCUAGUUGGUGGGGUAAGAGCCUACCAAGGCGAUGAUCUGUAGCUGGUUUGAGAGGAUGAUCAGUCACACUGGAACUGAGACACGGUCCAGACUCCUACGGGAGGCAGCAGUGGGGAAUUUUGCACAAUGGGCGCAAGCCUGAUGCAGCGAUGCCGCGUGUGGGAAGAAGGCCUUUGGGUUGUAAACCACUUUCAAUUGGGAAGAAGGGAUGA
Molecule: ribosomal RNA, 410 nt
Filed under: uncultured Zetaproteobacteria bacterium
Lineage: Bacteria; Pseudomonadati; Pseudomonadota; Candidatius Mariprofundia
Description: bacterial SSU rRNA
Rfam family: Bacterial small subunit ribosomal RNA
Source: RNAcentral